CUGAGCUUAGACAACUGCUGUCGAACUUACGAAAUGAAUCUAUAGCUGCGUAUCUGAGAAACUUAGACCCUAAUUCCAGCAACAAUGAAUACAACCUAUGGAGGGCGACUAAAUACCUAAAGAAACCAGCUAAAAGAAACAUAAAUAUUCGCAAAAACAACGGAACUUGGUGUAGGUCUAAUAAUGAACAAGCGGAAGCAUUUGCACAACAUCUGCACUCUGUGUUUCAGCCAAACGAUAUAAAUAAUUAUACAACAGAGACUGAAGUAGAAAAAUUCCUUGAGUCACCCUGCCAAAUGAGCUUGCCUAUUAAAAUCAUUAAAUAUGAAGAAGUUGUGACAGAAAUCAAAUGCUUGAACAAUAAAAAAGCACCAGGCCCUGAUAAAAUAGACGGUAUCACCCUAAAAAGUUUACCACCAAAAUGCAUUCGGUUUCUCACUCUUAUAUAUAACGCGAUUCUCAGACUAGACCACUUUCCAAGUCAAUGGAAAUGUGCAGAGAUCGUUAUGAUCCUAAAACCAAAC
Molecule: long non-coding RNA, 524 nt
Filed under: Drosophila guanche
Lineage: Eukaryota; Metazoa; Arthropoda; Insecta; Diptera; Drosophilidae
Source: RNAcentral